GAGGGGUUUCCAGAAAACCCCUCUACGAUAGAGAGAAAGUGAGACAGGGGGAGCAAGAAGCGAAUAAAACAUGCAUUUUGAAGCAGGUUACCACUGUGGGCUCUGAUCCUCCAGGGAACCUGCCUGCAGUUACCCGACCUGAGGGGCGAGGAAGCUGAACUUUAUCCACCAGCCCAUCUGUUAUCAGUUGAGAGCUCCUUCUGGGAGCAGUAACUCUUUAUCUUUUUUACAUUUGACCACCCGCCUAAGGCCGCCUACCACAGCCAUCACUGCCAUGAGCGCUUAGGGCACUGAACUGGCCCUCUUUGAUUGUUGGUGGUAUCUUUGAUUCCAGCCUCCUUUCCCUGUUCUCAUCUGACUCGGUGGGUCCGCUGACAACACGGGUUAUGUUAUUAACAAAAUUAGAGCUUUGUUCCUUUCAUCUGAGCAGCUCAAAGCAUUCCACUAAAACCACCUCGGUAAUUCUCAAAAUACCUUCAGGCAGCCAGGAGGCAGAAUGGUCUCAUCCACGGUGAAAGGGGAAGACAUUUAGGUCCCACGGCAUUCUAUGAUUUAUUUACCUUUGGGGCCAGGAUCAGUAUGCACCCAGUCUGGUCAAAAGGACACGGUCCUAGAAGGGGAAAUUUGAAAUCAUUAGGAAAGGAUUUCUUUUGACAGUUCUAGGAUGGCAGGAAGUACCUGCUAAAGCUCCCACACCAAACAGUUGUUCAGAAAAAUCAAACACCCUAAUUCCUUCCAAUCCAGAGUUUGCUCGCAUUUUUACACGCGCUCAGCACAUCUGGGAGCGACUUGUGUCAAAACGCGUAAAAUGUUUCAAGUACGGUAAUAAACUCAGCGCUACAAGAAAAAAUUGGAUGAGACAGAAAAAAAUUAAUCCAAAAUUUUCCCCAAGUGACUUUUUCUUGCCUUUUUUAACACUAAAAAUGCUACUUUUUAGUAUUUUUAUAAAAAAUAACACGUAUGCAUUGAAAAAAAUUAUAUUACAAGAAAGAAAAAUUAUAUUACAUGUAAAUAGGAAAAAUGUAAAAGUUGUUCAAAUUCCCAUCACCUUAAGAUAACAAUCAUUAACCUUUUGUUGACCAUCCUUGUAUAAUUCAUUUUAUACAUGUAUACACACACUCAAACAUCUAGAUCAUUUAACAAAAAUGGAAUCAUAUCAUGCAAGCUUUUUUAAGAUUGUUGAAUUUCCCCUUUCAUCCCCAAUCCCUACUUUUUCGCAGGUAACCAGUGUUAACAACUUAGUAUAUAUCCUUCUCCAGGCUCAAAUAAUUAUAGACACACAUGUAUACAGCCCGUAUUACAACAUUUCAUCAAUUGGUCUAAUAAUGCCGUUUAUGGUUGAUUUUUCCCAGUUCAGGAUCCAGCCCAGGAUCAUAAAUGAUGCUUAGUCAUCAGGUCUCUUGAGUUGCCUUCUAUGUGGAACAGUCCACAUUCUUUCUUUUAGUUUCUUGAUCUUGACCUUUUAGAAGCAUAUGGGCCAUUUAUUUUGUACGAUGUCUCUCAAUUUGGGUUUGUCUGGCGUUUCUUCACAAUCAAAUCCAGGAUAGAGCCCUCACCAGCUUUCAGCCAGGUGCACACGGGCAGCGUUGCUGAAUCUACAAGACACCUGCCUGGGUCGAAUCCACGGCUGCUGCUUCUCCGUUCCUCACACGGCUUUGAAGAAGCAAGUCUGUACCGCCUCCAGCUGCAGGUGCUGGAUCAAGCUGGAAUGUGCCUCAGGCCAAAACUGACACCCGAAUACGGAUACUUGUUAACUGAGAAGCAAAAAAAGUAGGCACUCCGAUUUCAAGAAGCAAAAAUUAUGAAGAGGUGCAAAGGCUCCAGGACUAUUUUGUUGAUCACUUGUAAAAUGUGCAACAGAACAGUAGACAGUAAAAUAAUGGUAAAAGGAGAAACUUCCUGUGAGUGAGGAGAAGCAAUGCUACCACUCCAAAGAUUAAACUGCAGGAAGACACAGGAGACUAGAGCUCUGAGUUCUGCAAGUCAGCUUCCAAUGGCAAGGGCGCCACCUUGGUUCUCGGAACAGCUACAUCUGGCCAGUCAACACCCGUUUGCGCCUCAAAGGAUAUGAGUAAAACAAAGGAACACUUCUCUCAGCUGAAAAUGCUGCUUACUCAGAAGGAAUUCCAAGAGAAUCCAAAGUGGAUGUCAGAAAUUUCUUGUCUCCUCUGUAAAGAAUGGAUUUCAAGAAAUGUCCAAUGCUAUUUCUGAACUAAAGCUAGUCAAUGAAACAACUUGUUUGACUUUUCUUUAUUCUCUGAGUGCAUGGAAACCAGAUCCAAGAACAAGCUUUUUUUGGGCAUCCUUGGCAUUUCUGGGAAAUAAAAACCUCAUUGGAAUGAAUAACUGAAACCUACCUACCUCGAAGGAAAUUGAGACCUUCAUGAGUGUGUCUGCUUAUGAAGAUUUCUUCUGGGAGUCAACAGCCUGAUCGCUACGUCAGAAAAACUCAUCAGGUCGAAAGGUCAAGGAUGCUGCUUUGUCCCGAUAUUGGUGAUGUUCGUUUGGAUCAUAAGGGUAAGAUGGUUCCCCCAGUUUUCCCAAUAUGAAGUUGUUAUUUUCUUUUGUAAUUAAUAAAUACAAAGACUA
Long non-coding RNA from Equus asinus (donkey), 2589 nucleotides. Lineage: Eukaryota; Metazoa; Chordata; Mammalia; Perissodactyla; Equidae. The record is from Ensembl.